This 1530-nucleotide ribosomal RNA is filed under the name Escherichia coli KTE12. Its description in RNAcentral is "bacterial SSU rRNA". It matches the Rfam family "Bacterial small subunit ribosomal RNA". The record is from RNAcentral. Lineage: Bacteria; Pseudomonadati; Pseudomonadota; Gammaproteobacteria; Enterobacterales; Enterobacteriaceae.
AGAGUUUGAUCAUGGCUCAGAUUGAACGCUGGCGGCAGGCCUAACACAUGCAAGUCGAACGGUAACAGAAAGAAGCUUGCUGCUUUGCUGACGAGUGGCGGACGGGUGAGUAAUGUCUGGGAAACUGCCUGAUGGAGGGGGAUAACUACUGGAAACGGUAGCUAAUACCGCAUAACGUCGCAAGACCAAAGAGGGGGACCUUCGGGCCUCUUGCCAUCGGAUGUGCCCAGAUGGGAUUAGCUUGUUGGUGGGGUAACGGCUCACCAAGGCGACGAUCCCUAGCUGGUCUGAGAGGAUGACCAGCCACACUGGAACUGAGACACGGUCCAGACUCCUACGGGAGGCAGCAGUGGGGAAUAUUGCACAAUGGGCGCAAGCCUGAUGCAGCCAUGCCGCGUGUAUGAAGAAGGCCUUCGGGUUGUAAAGUACUUUCAGCGGGGAGGAAGGGAGUAAAGUUAAUACCUUUGCUCAUUGACGUUACCCGCAGAAGAAGCACCGGCUAACUCCGUGCCAGCAGCCGCGGUAAUACGGAGGGUGCAAGCGUUAAUCGGAAUUACUGGGCGUAAAGCGCACGCAGGCGGUUUGUUAAGUCAGAUGUGAAAUCCCCGGGCUCAACCUGGGAACUGCAUCUGAUACUGGCAAGCUUGAGUCUCGUAGAGGGGGGUAGAAUUCCAGGUGUAGCGGUGAAAUGCGUAGAGAUCUGGAGGAAUACCGGUGGCGAAGGCGGCCCCCUGGACGAAGACUGACGCUCAGGUGCGAAAGCGUGGGGAGCAAACAGGAUUAGAUACCCUGGUAGUCCACGCCGUAAACGAUGUCGACUUGGAGGUUGUGCCCUUGAGGCGUGGCUUCCGGAGCUAACGCGUUAAGUCGACCGCCUGGGGAGUACGGCCGCAAGGUUAAAACUCAAAUGAAUUGACGGGGGCCCGCACAAGCGGUGGAGCAUGUGGUUUAAUUCGAUGCAACGCGAAGAACCUUACCUGGUCUUGACAUCCACGGAAGUUUUCAGAGAUGAGAAUGUGCCUUCGGGAACCGUGAGACAGGUGCUGCAUGGCUGUCGUCAGCUCGUGUUGUGAAAUGUUGGGUUAAGUCCCGCAACGAGCGCAACCCUUAUCCUUUGUUGCCAGCGGUCCGGCCGGGAACUCAAAGGAGACUGCCAGUGAUAAACUGGAGGAAGGUGGGGAUGACGUCAAGUCAUCAUGGCCCUUACGACCAGGGCUACACACGUGCUACAAUGGCGCAUACAAAGAGAAGCGACCUCGCGAGAGCAAGCGGACCUCAUAAAGUGCGUCGUAGUCCGGAUUGGAGUCUGCAACUCGACUCCAUGAAGUCGGAAUCGCUAGUAAUCGUGGAUCAGAAUGCCACGGUGAAUACGUUCCCGGGCCUUGUACACACCGCCCGUCACACCAUGGGAGUGGGUUGCAAAAGAAGUAGGUAGCUUAACCUUCGGGAGGGCGCUUACCACUUUGUGAUUCAUGACUGGGGUGAAGUCGUAACAAGGUAACCGUAGGGGAACCUGCGGUUGGAUCACCU